RNAcentral lists this long non-coding RNA (710 nucleotides) under Heterocephalus glaber (naked mole-rat). Its description in RNAcentral is "lncRNA (ENSHGLG00000037830.1)". Lineage: Eukaryota; Metazoa; Chordata; Mammalia; Rodentia; Bathyergidae. The record is from RNAcentral.
GUGAUCCUUCUGCCACACUCAGGAAUUGGGAAGUGGGACCUGAGGCUGGAAAGCCAUGCAAGGCCACAUGCAGGCACUUAAAAAAAUUUUUUUUCACCUUGCAGGGGUUCAGAACUCAGGGACACUUUAUCACUAAGUUGCAUACGUCCCCAGCUCUUUUAAAACUUUGAGACAGGGUCCUGCUAAAUUGCCCAAGCUGCCCUUGAACUUGCAGUCUGGCUGCCUCAGCCUCCUGAGUAGCUGGGAUUACAGGCAUGGGCCACGAGCCCUGCCUUGAGUGCAGGUGGAGGGCGAACUUGAUCCUGUGAAGGCAGCAUUUGAUCCAACAAAAUGGGAGGGCAGGUCAGUGUGUGUGAAAAAGGUGUUUUUAAGGACAACUAGUCUGGGAGCAACGCGUCGGCCGAGGGAGACCACUUGGAGGCAUUCACAAGAAACCAGGCAGACAUCAGGUCGCAGUGCUGGAGUGUUAAGAGGAAAACUAGAAACCAACAGCAAGAGGAGUGAAAUUGUUCAUAGAAUACAGGAAUCUCCCAUGAUAACAGAAUUACUCUGUGAAGUGGUUAUUGUAAUUGACGCUCACCUGCAGUCAGUUUCUUCACAGCUUCACCAACACGAGGAGCUAGAAAACUAGAGAAGCAACAGUGAGGAGCCAGAGGGCUGCACUUCCUUUCUCAAGACCCAGAAACAACGGAGCGAGACCCAGAUUCCUG